This is a long non-coding RNA of Felis catus (domestic cat), 389 nucleotides long. RefSeq lists it as uncharacterized. The record is from RefSeq and is a predicted model, not a curated record. NCBI's taxonomy places the organism in Eukaryota, Metazoa, Chordata, Mammalia, Carnivora, Felidae. The transcript is spliced from 3 exons.
CAAAGGGUAUUCAAGGCUUGUUUAUAGCUUCUGUUAGCUGGGAUAGUGAGAGUCUCUCCCUGAGGAAGCAUCCAUCCUUGGCUGAAGAUUAGCUCCUGGACUGGCAUAGAUUCUCCCAGCGUCUUUCCUCUGAGGGCUAGGAAAAGCCACCCUCCGCUGGCUGCUAUCUGAUGUCCACACCAGCUUCCUACUCCAGGUUCUUCCAUUCUAAGAAAACAGUUUCCCAGAAGCAGACCCUGAGGCCAGGAUUCCUGUGCAAGGGGCUUAUUAAGGAGGUGCUCCCAAGGGAGAUGAAGAAGGGAACAGAGAAAAUGAAGCAGGGAAGAGGGAAAAGUCAAGCUAAAAUAUGAUCCAGGCAAAAUCCAGCAGCCUGACUCCACAGGGGAACU